This 474-nucleotide ribosomal RNA is filed under the name uncultured bacterium. RNAcentral's name for it is "bacterial SSU rRNA". It matches the Rfam family "Bacterial small subunit ribosomal RNA", at positions 30 to 496 of the family's 1533-position model. The record is from RNAcentral.
AUUGAACGCUGGCGGCAGGCCUAACACAUGCAAGUCGAGCGGUAGAGAGGUGCUUGCAUCUCUUGAGAGCGGCGGACGGGUGAGUAAUGCCUAGGAAUCUGCCCUAGUGGUGGGGGGAUAACGUUCGGAAACGGACGCUAAUACCGCAUACGUCCUACGGGAGAAAGCGGGGGAUCUUCGGACCUCGCGCCAUUAGAUGAGCCUAGGUCGGAUUAGCUAGUUGGUGAGGUAAAGGCUCACCAAGGCGACGAUCCAUAGCUGGUCUGAGAGGAUGAUCAGCCACACUGGGACUGAGACACGGCCCAGACUCCUACGGGAGCAGCAGUGGGGAAUAUUGGACAAUGGGCGAAAGCCUGAUCCAGCAAUGCCGCGUGAGUGAUGAAGGCCUUAGGGUUGUAAACUGCUUUUGUACGGAACGAACGGUGAGCGUCUAAUACAGUUUGCUAAUGACGGUACCGUAAGAAUAAGCACCGG